GUUCCUCAUCCUUACUCCAGGGAAUUGUUGCUGGUACUAUCCCUGGCAUUAACUGAGGAUAAAUCAAUUGCUCUCACUCCAAUCCUUGAAAAUGUUUUCAGUAGGAGCAGGAAUGCUGGGCAGACAUC
Molecule: small nucleolar RNA, 128 nt
Filed under: Leptobrachium leishanense (Leishan spiny toad)
Lineage: Eukaryota; Metazoa; Chordata; Amphibia; Anura; Megophryidae
Description: Small nucleolar RNA SNORA49 (ENSLLEG00000024268.1)
Rfam family: Small nucleolar RNA SNORA49
About the family: The snoRNA ACA49 has no identified RNA target. NB genomic sequence 1-nt different from published.
Source: Rfam by way of RNAcentral